This 212-nucleotide non-coding RNA is filed under the name Erythranthe guttata (spotted monkey flower). RNAcentral's name for it is "Mimulus guttatus (spotted monkey flower) Eukaryotic small subunit ribosomal RNA". It matches the Rfam family "Eukaryotic small subunit ribosomal RNA", at positions 1244 to 1478 of the family's 1831-position model. The record is from Rfam by way of RNAcentral. Lineage: Eukaryota; Viridiplantae; Streptophyta; Magnoliopsida; Lamiales; Phrymaceae.
CAAUUGAGAGUUAUUUUUAGAUUAUGGGUGGUGGUGCAUGGUCAUCCUUAGAUGGAAGAGCGAUUGGUCUGGUUAAUUAUGUUAAUGAAUGAAACCUCAGCCUGCUAGCUAGCUAUGCAGACGUAUCACUUUGUGGCCAACUUCUUAGAGGGAGUACAACGUGUUAGGCCGUGAAUGUUUGAGACAAUAACAUAUUUGUGACACCCUUUGAU